UUCUUGCGUGAGGGAUAGCAGUGGAAAUCCUUUUUUGUUUUUUUCUUUAAAAAACAAAAAAGAUUGAAACGAAUAGCCCGACCCGUA
Molecule: small RNA, 87 nt
Organism: Flavobacterium branchiophilum FL-15
Lineage: Bacteria; Pseudomonadati; Bacteroidota; Flavobacteriia; Flavobacteriales; Flavobacteriaceae
Rfam family: Flavo-1 RNA
Source: Rfam